RNAcentral lists this transfer RNA (72 nucleotides) under Zingiber officinale. It matches the Rfam family "tRNA". Rfam says of the family: Transfer RNA (tRNA) molecules are approximately 80 nucleotides in length. Lineage: Eukaryota; Viridiplantae; Streptophyta; Magnoliopsida; Zingiberales; Zingiberaceae. The record is from Rfam by way of RNAcentral.
GGGCAUUUGGUCUAGUGGUAUGAUUCUCGCUUAGGGUGCGAAAGGUCUCGAGUUCAAUUCUCGGAAUGCCCC